This 253-nucleotide ribosomal RNA is filed under the name uncultured bacterium. Its description in RNAcentral is "partial 16S ribosomal RNA". It matches the Rfam family "Bacterial small subunit ribosomal RNA", at positions 524 to 776 of the family's 1533-position model. The record is from RNAcentral.
UACGUAGGGUGCAAGCGUUAAUCGGAAUUACUGGGCGUAAAGCGUGCGCAGGCGGUUGUGCAAGACAGAUGUGAAAUCCCCGGGCUUAACCUGGGAAUGGCAUUUGGGACUGCAAGGCUGGAGUGCGGCAGAGGAGACUGGAAUUCCUGGUGUAGCAGUGAAAUGCGCAGAUAUCAGGAGGAACACCGAUGGCGAAGGCAGGUCUCUGGGCCACUACUGACGCUGAGAAGCGAAAGCAUGGGGAGCGAACAGG